This 420-nucleotide ribosomal RNA is filed under the name uncultured Desulfocapsa sp. RNAcentral's name for it is "bacterial SSU rRNA". It matches the Rfam family "Bacterial small subunit ribosomal RNA", at positions 963 to 1382 of the family's 1533-position model. The record is from RNAcentral. Lineage: Bacteria; Pseudomonadati; Thermodesulfobacteriota; Desulfobulbia; Desulfobulbales; Desulfocapsaceae.
CGAAAACCUUACCUACCCUUGACAUGUCCGGAAUCCCGAAGAGAUUUGGGAGUGCUCGCAAGAGAACCGGAACACAGGUGCUGCAUGGCUGUCGUCAGCUCGUGUCGUGAGAUGUUGGGUUAAGUCCCGCAACGAGCGCAACCCUUGUCCUUAGUUGCCACCAUUCAGUUGGGCACUCUAAGGAGACUGCCGGUGUUAAACCGGAGGAAGGUGGGGAUGACGUCAAGUCCUCAUGGCCCUUAUAUCCAGGGCUACACACGUGCUACAAUGGCCGGUACAAAGGGCAGCCACUUAGCGAUAAGGAGCCAAUCCCGUAAAGCCGGUCUCAGUCCGGAUUGGAGUCUGCAACUCGACUGCGUGAAGUUGGAAUCGCUAGUAAUCGUAGAUCAGCAUGCUACGGUGAAUACGUUCCCGGGCCUU